Molecule: long non-coding RNA, 357 nt
Organism: Passer domesticus (house sparrow)
Lineage: Eukaryota; Metazoa; Chordata; Aves; Passeriformes; Passeridae
Exons: 3
Source: RefSeq, a predicted model, not a curated record
CUUGGGCAGGUGCAGCCACCUUGUCAGACUGGCUCACCUGAUUGCUGUUUUUUCCACAAGCUACCUUUCUUCCUUGUAUCUUUGUAAAAGCUGAACAGAGGUGCCUGCAAAAAUGAUGCAGGAUUCUUGGAAUUGUAAAGACUUCUGGAUAAGUGCUUUGACUCCAUGAAGUUGCUGCAGCCUCCAGGUUAUCUGGGUACAUGCUUCAGUGAGUAAAGGCACAGAUUUUGUAAUUUUGGGGUAAGCAAGCAGCUACUCAGUGUGAGCAGUGGAAGAGAGAGAUUCAAGAAACCUGCUGGUGGGCAUCUGGGCUUAAGAGAAGAGGAGGAAGAGGUGUUGUGGCUGUCAGUAGCUUGA